UUGAAUAUUUCCAAUACAGGCAUCUAGGAGCUCGUGGCAUGCGUGCAUACUCGAAAUUACCUAAAUCAAAACCACUUGACGACUUCUCGUUGACUGCUCAGGGAAUAAAAACUCUCCACAACAAUCUCCAUUACUCCCAAGCGUUCAAACUCCAUCAACUGGUUAUAAGAUUAACAGAAAUUCACUUUCAAAAGGAAUGCCUAAAAGUUCAUCUAUUGGGCCACAAAAUGGACAAGGUUCAACGCCAAUGUUCUCUCCAAUGGUCAUCUCAAAAGCAAGAUCGGAUCAAAACUACAACAGGGUACAAGCUGUAGGAAAAACAAGAGAGCAACUACCAAAAUGGCUACAUGACAAAAAACAAAGAACAGUUAUAAGAAAAAGACCAAAUUGAGACACCAAUUUUGCGUUCAUUCAACAGACGAAAUGAUAACAACGUGAAUUUAGGUUGUAAUUAAUUGACUUCCUGUGGAAACAAUCAAGUGCUUUAUUGUGAAAACAUGCCUAAAUAAAGAUAAGGAAAAAGCAGCAUACAUAUUGAAUGUUUCAUUAUCUCCCUUUCAAUGUUGAAAAACGUAAAGUUAAACUUAUCGACUUCGUUACCCAGUAAGUUUGUUUGCACUCGGACGGACGCAAGAAAUCAGUCAUGGUGGAAUUCGCUCAAAUGGAUCAGUAUCUUUAUAACAAUCUUCAAAUACACUUGACACAAUGUUCUCUGCUUCUUCUUUACUGAUGUCACUUACGCAAAGUAUUGAUUUAACUGCUCGAUAUCUGACACAUUUCUGAAAAGAAAUUUUUUAAACAAUGUGUAACACGAUUUCUCAACUGUAUUCGUAACAAAGAAUGAAAACUGAA
Molecule: long non-coding RNA, 852 nt
Organism: Xenia sp. Carnegie-2017
Lineage: Eukaryota; Metazoa; Cnidaria; Anthozoa; Malacalcyonacea; Xeniidae
Exons: 2
Source: RefSeq, a predicted model, not a curated record